This 87-nucleotide transfer RNA is filed under the name Triticum aestivum (bread wheat). It matches the Rfam family "tRNA". Rfam says of the family: Transfer RNA (tRNA) molecules are approximately 80 nucleotides in length. Lineage: Eukaryota; Viridiplantae; Streptophyta; Magnoliopsida; Poales; Poaceae. The record is from Rfam by way of RNAcentral. RNAcentral also lists the same sequence under 1 other name.
GGAUGGAUGCCUGAGCGGUUGAAAGAGUCGGUCUUGAAAACCGAAGUAUUGAUAGGAAUAACGGGGGUUUGAUUCCCUCUCCAUCUG